UACAGAGGUCUCAAGCGUUGUUCGGAUUCAUUGGGCGUAAAGGGUGCGUAGGCGGCGCGGUAAGUCGGGUGUGAAAUCUUGGAGCUUAACUCCGAAACUGCAUUCGAUACUGCCGUGCUUGAGGACUGGAGAGGAGACUGGAAUUUACGGUGCAGCGGUGAAAUGCGUAGAUAUCGUAAGGAAGACCAGUGGCGAAGGCGAGUUUCUGGACAGUUACUGACGCUGAGGCACGAAGGCCAGGGGAGCAAACGGG
Molecule: ribosomal RNA, 253 nt
Filed under: uncultured bacterium
Lineage: Bacteria
Description: partial 16S ribosomal RNA
Rfam family: Bacterial small subunit ribosomal RNA
Source: RNAcentral